Molecule: ribosomal RNA, 253 nt
Filed under: uncultured bacterium
Lineage: Bacteria
Description: partial 16S ribosomal RNA
Rfam family: Bacterial small subunit ribosomal RNA
Source: RNAcentral
UACGUAGGGUGCAAGCGUUGUCCGGAAUUAUUGGGCGUAAAGAGCUCGUAGGCGGUCUGUCGCGUCGGCUGUGAAAACCCGGAGCUCAACUCCGGGCCUGCAGUCGAUACGGGCAAACUGGAGUGUUGCAGGGGAGACUGGAAUUCCUGGUGUAGCGGUGAAAUGCGCAGAUAUCAGGAGGAACACCGAUGGCGAAGGCAGGUCUCUGGGCUGACACUGACGCUCAUGCACGAAAGCGUGGGGAGCAAACAGG